This 688-nucleotide ribosomal RNA is filed under the name Cortinarius variipes. RNAcentral describes it as "eukaryotic LSU rRNA". The stretch from base 273 to 424 matches the Rfam family "5.8S ribosomal RNA". Lineage: Eukaryota; Fungi; Basidiomycota; Agaricomycetes; Agaricales; Cortinariaceae. The record is from RNAcentral.
CUGCGGAAGGAUCAUUAUUGAAUAAACCUGAUGAGUUGUUGCUGGUUCUCUAGGGAACACUUUGUGCACACUUGUCAUCUUUAUAUAUCUCCACCUGUGCAUCUUUUGUAGACCUUGGAUAAUCUCUCUGGGUGCGCCUAGCAUUCAGGUUUGAAGAUUGACUUUUAUAGUCUUUCUUUACAUUUCCAGGUCUAUGUUUCCUCAUAUAAACCCUAAUGUAUGUUAUUGAAUGUAAUAAAGUGGGCUUUUAUUAUGCCUAUAAACAUUUAUACAACUUUCAGCAACGGAUCUCUUGGCUCUCGCAUCGAUGAAGAACGCAGCGAAAUGCGAUAAGUAAUGUGAAUUGCAGAAUUCAGUGAAUCAUCGAAUCUUUGAACGCACCUUGCGCUCCUUUAUUACGAGGAGCAUGCCUGUUUGAGUGUCAUUAAUAUAUCAACCUUUUCAAGCUUGCUUGUUGAGUGUUUGGAUGUGGGGGUCUUUCUUUUUUGCUGGUCUCUUUCUUUGACAUCAGCUCCCCUGAAAUUUAUUAGCGGAACAAUUUUGCAGAUCCCAUAUUCAUUGGUGUGAUAACUAUCUACGCUAUUGAAGGGUGAAGCAGGUUCAGCUUCUAACAGUCCUAUUGACUUGGACAAAUUUUAUUUAUUAAUGUGACCUCAAAUCAGGUAGGACUACCCGCUGAACUUAAGCA